UACGGGGGGGGCAAGCGUUGUUCGGAAUUACUGGGCGUAAAGGGCUCGUAGGUGGCCAACUAAGUCAGACGUGAAAUCCCUCAGCUUAACUGGGGAACUGCGUCUGAUACUGGAUGGCUUGAGUUUGGGAGAGGGAUGCGGAAUUCCAGGUGUAGCGGUGAAAUGCGUAGAUAUCGGGAAGAACACCCGUGGCGAAGGCGGCUCUCUGGGACGGUACUGACGCUGAGACGCGAAAGCGUGGGGAGCGAACAGG
RNAcentral lists this ribosomal RNA (253 nucleotides) under uncultured bacterium. RNAcentral's name for it is "partial 16S ribosomal RNA". It matches the Rfam family "Bacterial small subunit ribosomal RNA", at positions 524 to 776 of the family's 1533-position model. The record is from RNAcentral.